CCUACGGGAGGCAGCAGUCGAGAAUUUUUCACAAUGGACGAAAGUCUGAUGGAGCGACGCCGCGUGGAGGAUGAAGGUUCUUGGAUUGUAAACCCCUGUCACUGCAGAACAAGGGUGCGUCAUUUAAAAGAUAGCGCAUUUGAUGGUAUGCGGAGAGGAAGGGACGGCUAACUCUGUGCCAGCAGCCCCGGUCAU
This 195-nucleotide ribosomal RNA is filed under the name uncultured Verrucomicrobiales bacterium. RNAcentral's name for it is "partial 16S ribosomal RNA". It matches the Rfam family "Bacterial small subunit ribosomal RNA", at positions 338 to 524 of the family's 1533-position model. Lineage: Bacteria; Pseudomonadati; Verrucomicrobiota; Verrucomicrobiia; Verrucomicrobiales. The record is from RNAcentral.